This is a non-coding RNA of Acanthosepion pharaonis, 90 nucleotides long. The record is from the annotation of a GenBank genome assembly. Lineage: Eukaryota; Metazoa; Mollusca; Cephalopoda; Sepiida; Sepiidae.
CCAUAUCUUGUAUGAUCACCAUAGUUAAGCAACAAUGAGCCUGGUCAGUACUUAGAUGGGUGAACACUUGGGAAUACCAAGUGCUGUAAG